RNAcentral lists this ribosomal RNA (253 nucleotides) under uncultured bacterium. Its description in RNAcentral is "partial 16S ribosomal RNA". It matches the Rfam family "Bacterial small subunit ribosomal RNA", at positions 524 to 776 of the family's 1533-position model. The record is from RNAcentral.
UACAGAGGGUGCGAGCGUUAAUCGGAAUUACUGGGCGUAAAGCGUGCGUAGACGGUUAUUUAAGUCGGGUGUGAAAGCCCCGGGCUCAACCUGGGAAUUGCAUUCGAGACUGAAUAGCUAGGGUGCGGAAGAGGGAAGCGGAAUUUCCGGUGUAGCGGUGAAAUGCGUAGAUAUCGGAAGGAACACCAGUGGCGAAAGCGGCUUCCUGGUCCAGCACCGACGUUCAGGCACGAAAGCGUGGGGAGCAAACAGG